AACGCACAUUGCGCCCUAUGGUAUUCCGUAGGGCAUGCCUGUUCGAGCGUCAUUACAACCCUCAAGCUUUGCUUGGUAUUGGGCGUCGUCCCCCAAACGGACGUGCCUCAAAGACCUCGGCGGUGGCCUCUUUGCCUCAAGCGUAGUAAAACAACUCUCGCUUUGGAGUCGAAGGAGUCGCCCGCCGGACGAACCUUCUGAACUUUUUUCUCAAGGUUGACCUCGGAUCAGGUAGGGAUACCCGCUGAACUUAA
This 254-nucleotide unclassified non-coding RNA is filed under the name uncultured Botryosphaeriales. RNAcentral's name for it is "sequence contains 5.8S rRNA gene, ITS2, 28S rRNA gene". The stretch from base 1 to 52 matches the Rfam family "5.8S ribosomal RNA", at positions 103 to 154 of the family's 154-position model. Lineage: Eukaryota; Fungi; Ascomycota; Dothideomycetes; Botryosphaeriales. The record is from RNAcentral.